Non-coding RNA from Camelina sativa (false flax), 213 nucleotides. The record is from RefSeq and is a predicted model, not a curated record. NCBI's taxonomy places the organism in Eukaryota, Viridiplantae, Streptophyta, Magnoliopsida, Brassicales, Brassicaceae.
AUACAGUAUGGGCAAGUGUCUCUAGAUAUACACAGAGAUUGAGAGAUUUAAAAGGUCUCUUACUCAGACAGACGCUGGUGUUGGUGUUGAUGUUGAUGUUGAGGAAGCAACUCGGUUUUCAGGUGGGAUUUCUGUGAAUUCAGAUAGGAUUGCUCGGAAUUCAUCACCCGACAUUGUCUCUUUCUCAAGAAGUACUUCAACAAUCUUGUCCAU